CCUACGGGAGGCAGCAGUGAGGAAUAUUGGUCAAUGGGCGUAAGCCUGAACCAGCCAAGUCGCGUGCGGGAUGACGGUCCUAUGGAUCGUAAACCUCUUUUAUACGGGAAUAAAGUGCGGUACGUGUCCCGUUUUGUAUGUACCUUAUGAAUAAGGAUCGGCUAACUCCGUGCCAGCAGCCGCGGUAAUCCGGAAGGUCCGGGCGUUAUCCGGAUUUAUUGGGUUUAAAGGGAGCGUAGGCCGGUCGUUAAGCGUGCCGUGAAAUUUUGUGGCUCAACCCUGAGAGUGCGGCGCGAACUGGAGAGCUUGAGUGCGCGGAAGGCAGGCGGAAUUCGUGGUGUAGCGGUGAAAUGCUUAGAUAUGACGAAGAACCCCGAUUGCGAAGGCAGCCUGCUGCAGCGUAACUGACGCUGAAGCUCGAAAGCGCGGGUAUCGAACAGGAUUAGAUACCCUGGUAGUC
Molecule: ribosomal RNA, 460 nt
Filed under: uncultured bacterium
Lineage: Bacteria
Description: partial 16S ribosomal RNA
Rfam family: Bacterial small subunit ribosomal RNA
Source: RNAcentral